This is a long non-coding RNA of Nycticebus coucang (slow loris), 1657 nucleotides long. RefSeq lists it as uncharacterized. The record is from RefSeq and is a predicted model, not a curated record. Lineage: Eukaryota; Metazoa; Chordata; Mammalia; Primates; Lorisidae. The transcript has 3 exons.
GCGGCCCGGGUGGGAUAACAGUAACGUCUGUGCUCUGGCUGGAUGCACUUGAGCCUGGAGAUCCACAGUACCUCCUUCGACCGCUCCCUCUGCGCCUGAAGUCAUUAUCUCUUGUGGUCACAGCUUAUUUCCUUGUGACUCUGCUCACAAUGACCCUCUACAUCCCUUUCUCUCAUGAAAAAUCUCAAUUUCUUUCCGCAUUGAGAUUUAAGGACUGGCUCUUCUCUACCCGUGAUGUCUUCCAAUUGAAUAAAUAAAAGAGAGGAAGCAAACCGAAAAUCACCUGGCGAGGUUCAGAUUGUUCCUCUAGGUAAAAGAACAACUACACCUUUCAUGUAUGCGGCGCAUUAGAGCCAUGAUCUCAUCUGAUUUUCCUGGCCAUGGACAAUCAGGUCAGUUAAGGUCCUCUGAGAGGAAUUUAGGCCUCCUGCUGUGAUCUGGGAAAGGGACUCAGAUCCCUCAAGCUCCUCAGGUCUCUCCUGAGUUUCUUCUCAUCCCAUCUGGUCACCAGGAGCCUGUGUUGGUGUCCAGCAGCCCCAAGGCACAGUGCCACAAUCAUCUGCAUUUUUCAAAUGAGAAAACUAAGUCACAGAGAAGAUGUUGGCAUGGAUAUGGAGAAAAGGGAACACUUCUGCACUGCUGAUGGGAAUGCAAGCUAGUACGUUCCUUUUGGAAAGAAGUUUGGAGAACACUCAGGGAUCUAAAUGUAGACCUGCCAUUUGAACCUGCAAUUCCUCUACUAGGUGCAUAUCCAAAAGACCAAAAAUCACGUGGCAACAAAAAUAUUUGCACCAGAUUGUUCAUUGCAGCUCAAUUCAUAAUUGCCAAGUCUUGGAAGAAGCCCAAGUGCCUAUCGAUACUCUAAAAUUUUUUUUCCUUUAUUCUUUUUUUUAUUAAAUCAUAGCUGUGUACAUUAAUAUGAUCAUGGGGCAUCAUACACUUGGUUCAUAGACCAUUUGACACAUUUUCAUCACACUAGUUAACAUAGCUUUCCUGGCAUUUUCUUAGUUAUUUUGCUAAGACAUUUACAUUCCACAUUUACUAAGUUUCACAUAUACCCUUGUAAGAUGCACCGAUACUCUAAAAUUUUUAUCAUAAAUUUAAUAGCUUCAAAUAAUGUCACUUCUACCAUAUUGUAAAACUAUAGCUAAGCCUAAUACCUGGACCACAUAGGUUCUCUCAGACAGAUCAGUUUUAGGCAAACAAUGUAUAUGGAAGUUGAAUAUAUGGAAACUGACUCCCAUAAGACAACCCACACCUGCAGGAGACUCUUUAGAAAGUCUUUGUGUACCUUCAAGAGUAUUGGGCACAGAUGCCAUGUGAAAAUCAUUUUGCUGAACUAACAGUGCAAACACAAAAGUUCUAGCUGGGGCAAUAUUUAACCCUGUCCACUUCCUGGAUUUUUGCUUGGGUCAAACGUGCUAGAUGGGCUGGCACUUUGUCAUAUUAAAGGAGCAAGUGUAUUCCAUGACAAAAUCUAGGUGAUGAUGCUUUCAACCUCUACACACACUCUUCAGUUGCUGGGAAUAACGGGAUACUCAUAGCAUAACUAUGUGAAUCAAUCACGAGCAAAAUUACUCACCAGAAAUUCCUUCUUUUUCACCUUCCUCCAUCUAAAAUGCCCAUUCCUUUGAGUCAUUUGUUGUUUAUCUUUGGA